GAACACAGAAUAACUCCGUGUCUUUCCUGCCAUGGGCCAUUUGUUUUACCCACAUGAAAUAAAAGAGACCCUUCAGCUGGGUGGAGGUGGCUGAGAAGGAAGGGAAACAACAUAGACACAAUCUCUGGAGCUGCUGGCCUCACCCUCCACUAGCUUCUCUGUUUCAGGUUUCUUUCCGCAGGCUUGAUAAAAUGCCUUUCUUGUCAUCAUGUAUCAAAGCUACUUUCAUCAUCGCUUUGGCAUUUCCUCUUUAUUCUGAAACUUCUUUGGGAUCUAAAACACAAACUCGCAGUCCGCCAGACUGUAAAGUGUAUGCAGAUAGACUACAUCAUUGCACCAGAGAAAUGGAUCCAGUCUGUGCAAAGAAUGGCCACACUUAUAGCAAUAGAUGUCAAUUCUGCAGUGCAAAGUUAGAAAAUGAAGGAGUUGAAUUUCGUCGUUAUGGUAGAUGCUGACUUUUUAACCUUAUUUUUACAAAUUCUUAUGGCUUUUAUGUAAUCCUAUUUUAUGGUGGAUUCUACAACCAGCUAGUGUCUUCUCAAUCAGGGCCUUAAAUUCCUAGAUGACCAGCUGUAUCCCAGGCACUCGGAAUAGAAUCUACCACAGAGGGGGCACCUGGUAAAUGUUUGCUGCUGGAAUGAUGGUUACUACGUCGCAUCUGGAGAUGUAUUUUGUCUGAGUUUCCCCAGGAAGAUGUUAUUUGUAAAAGCAUGCUCUACUACAUGAAAGUACUCAAAGGGGCAGUUUCCAAGACUUCCAUUUGGAUUGUUCAGAAUGAGAUAUUUAAAUAUCCAAUUGUGUAUCUUCAUUGGACGGAGCCAGCUACAUGGAGACUGAGAUUGUUAUCUAAAGAACUGUGUUUUGGGGAUGAACACGCUUGAAGCUCUGACUUGGGCAGGGCAAAGUCAAUACAUGUAACCUAAACAAUUGUGCU
RNA transcript from Lemur catta (Ring-tailed lemur), 934 nucleotides. It is a transcript of the gene named sperm-associated acrosin inhibitor-like, with no coding region annotated. NCBI's taxonomy places the organism in Eukaryota, Metazoa, Chordata, Mammalia, Primates, Lemuridae. The record is from RefSeq and is a predicted model, not a curated record. The transcript is spliced from 6 exons.